CGGCCCAGGCGCGCACUUCGUGCUCACUAAGCGCUCAGGGUAGGGAUCCAGCGGUCGUUACCAUGAUCAUCAGGACAGCGUUCCCUGUCCCCACUGAGCCGUCAGGAAGCCAUUUAUGACCCCAGAUGCCUGAGAUGUCCUGCUUCUCUAGACUGCUGCUUCAUAUGGGGUCUGCACCAGGGUUGUCUAAAAUUAUACAUAUCAAGAGGAAAACUCGGAAGAUUUAGAUCUUCAUUUCUUCCAUAGUUGAAGAAGAUACCUCUUCCACCUUGGCAAGGCUCUUUGGCAUCCCACCCUGGAAGGAUAUGGCCAAGUUUGAUGAGAAAGGUUGACCCCACUUUGGGGCAGGAUCGCACCUGGAACGGUGCAGGCAGGCCUCUGGCUUGCCCCAAGCGCUUCCCAACAUGCCUGCUUUUCCCGGAAGAAAGUGUGAGAUGCCCAAACGGACCAUAUGGUUUGGAGCGAGAGCCUUGGAGCCCACAGACAAUGGGGAAGUGAGAGGCCCAGGAAGAGACUGAGGCUUAAGGAGGUUAAGACACAUGCCCGAGGUCAUGAGGUCGGCAGGCAGUAGAGUCAGAGAUGGAACCCAGGGCUAUCUGGCUUCAGUGCCCAUGAUGUUGACCACUCAUCAUCCUCCUUCUGCCCCUUUCUUCCUUUCUGUGAACGCCCACUCUGUGGCAGCUCCACCUAGGGUCUGGGGACAUGGAAUGGAAACCACAGCCCUACUCUGUAGCGGGGGGGGGCGGGUGGUGGCUGUUGCAGGUGUGGAGGUGGGGGACAUUGAUUCGAAUGUAUUUUAAAGUGUGAAGUGAGUGCCCUGCUCUUGCAUAUGUGGUCAACUUCCCAGCUCCAGGGAAGUCUGGGCCGAAGAGAGAAUGAAUCAGGCGUGAGAGGUUUAGCUCUGCAUGGCGCAAGGCUGUGUGCUUCUGAGAGGAAUGUGUCUAAGGUGCGUCUCUCUCUAGGCAAGGGGACAUUUCCUGACUUGGCUGGACAGAUCACAUAUCUGACUUGGGCCUGACCCCCAUAGGAUGGUUUUGUGUCAUGCCCAAACCCACAGCACUCUCUGAAUCACGCCUUUUGUGCCAGAGGAGACCUCUGCACCUGCUGGAGUUGGAGAUGUCUCUUCCCCUUAUGAGACAGAUCUGUGCAAACGUGCUUCUCUAAGCAGUGGACACGGGCAGCCUUUCCAGUCCCAGACAGAAAACAGACAUCCCCGGAACACUCAUGGGGGCGGGAAAGAGGAGGGACUCCUCAAAGCAGAGUGGGGGCUGAGCGGUUGCUGGGGACAAGGCACACCUGGGUGGGUGACCAUCAGCAGAAAGAGACCUGGGACUGGUUCCAGGGAAAGCCAUUUGCAGUAACAGAGGCCAGAAGUGCACCUCCAUUGUUCCCAGGAAAUGACCCACGUGGCAUGUUUAGGGUGGGAAUGUGAGGGCCCCUGCCCUCCUCUCAGACCCUCAGCAGCCCUCUCAGUUGCUCCCCGCCAUCCCCUAAGUCCUGACUCUGCCCACUGAGCACUGGCAGUGGGUCUAGCUGAGGGUUGGGUGUAGAAGAAGACCCCAUUCCUGCCCUCAAAGAACUGGUAGUCUGUCCGGGAGUCGGAACAGAAGCAUGCAGAGCAGCCAGCGGCCCGCAUUUGCAUGCAACUCUGCCUGUAUGCGCUCACCCGCUCAGCCAAUCACCCGCCAGUCGUUUCCGGAGAGCCUCGCAGGUGCAGGGGUCGCUGUGUGUAGUGCUGGAAAACCCAACGGAGCUGCUAUUCUGGAACUCUCCAACAGGAAAACAGACCACAGUCACAAAAAUGAAGAAACGUUUAAGAUGACAGCAGGGGGUAACGAGUGCUAAAUAAGGGUGCCGUCGUGAGGAAGAACAGGAGAGACCUACUCCAGCUGAGGCGGCAGAGACCUCUGAGGAGGUGACGUGGAAGCUGAGACCUGAAGGAUGAGAAGGAGCCGGCCACGGAGAGAGCUAGAGGGAGAGCGUUCCAGGCAGAGGCCCGAGCAAGUGCUGACUCGGGGGCAGGAACAGGCUUGUAUUGUGUGAAGAACUGAUGGAAGACCAGGGUAUGUUAAGAGAGCCUUCAGGAGUGAGGUGCCAACCUUGGACAAACAAUGCAUAUCAGCAUAACAUGAGUAAGAACAGGCGUCUACUGAUCGCUCACCAGGUGCCGAACGCUGUGCUCAUGGUACACCUGAUUUACUCCUCACACCAGCUGGAUGAGGUGUGCACUGUCAUACUCCUAGUCAUGCAGAGGUCAGACAGGCGAAGUCAGUUGCCAAAGGUCGUGGAGCAAGUCAGCGGUGUAACUGGGUUUUGAACAUAAGUCUGAUUCAGGACCCCAGGUUCAUAACCAUUAGGUGAUUCUGUCUCCCAAUAUGUAGUACAAACUGCACACACCUGCUACAUGGAAAGGACAGAGAAGGGAGGAACCAGAGAAAAUUGUAGUCAUGGCCUACAGUGUAGGCUGUUGGGAAGAUCAUGUAGAGAGAAGUGUGGACAAUCAUAUACUGAAAAGUCAUUAUUAAAGCUAUACCGCAUCCUAAGGAGUUCAUUAUUCUUUGAUGAGCAGGGCUUCCUUUAGAGCAUCUUAGCUGUCUAAAGGUGGAAAACAGCGCUACCUGUUGGUGAAAAAGGGUGGUGGUUGUACGACAACUCGAGAACACUUGGGUCCAUCCCUGGUGAAGCGUUUCUCGGUCACCCCCAGGAUGUGCAGGCUUGCACUGGGCUGGUGGGUGAGGAUGUGGCAAGAGGAGUGGGCUGAGGGCUGGAGGGAAUGGAGAACUCGGAGGCACAGCUUUGCCUCCGGAAUAGAGAGGGCUGAGUCGGGAGGUUGGGCUCCCCACUGUCUUCCUCAUGGGCACACCAGGGGAUCUCAGAAAAUAAAAAUGGGGAUGUGGAAAAAGUGAGAGAUCUAGGAAGGCUCGAGAAGCUGGGAGAGGCUCCAGCAGAGAGGCAAAACCUGAGCAAGCAAGUAUUUGUGCAUAACUGUGAAAUGUUGUAAGUUCUUCACUGCAGUAUUGUUUGAAAUUUAAAAGGUGGAAACGACCCAUGUGUCCAUCAGUAGAGGGUUGGUAAAUAUGUUGCAUGCUUAUCACGGAAUGCUACACAGCUGUAAGAAAAUAAGGAGCAAGCUGUUUAUACAGUGAUAUGGAAAAGUCCCCUAGGUGUAUAAAGAGAGCAAAACAAAACAACAGCAAAGAUUAAGGCGUAGAACGGUGUGCACGGUAUGCCAUGGUUUAUGUAAAAGGAAGAGGGGAUAGAAAAUAUUUACCUUGUUUGUCUGAGCCAAAGGGAACUCUGGAACAUGCACAGGAAACUGUUAACACAGCGGUUGCCUGAGUGAGUGGGUGGGAGACAGGAAUGGGAGGGAGACCAAUCAUCUUAUAUCUUCUUAUUCUUUUUAAUUUUUAAAUUAAGUGUAUAAAUCCCAUAUUCGGGUUAACUUUUUUUUUAAAAUACAUUUAUUUAUUUUAUUUAUUUAUU
Molecule: long non-coding RNA, 3483 nt
Organism: Aethalodelphis obliquidens (Pacific white-sided dolphin)
Lineage: Eukaryota; Metazoa; Chordata; Mammalia; Artiodactyla; Delphinidae
Exons: 5
Source: RefSeq, a predicted model, not a curated record